GACGAACGCUGGCGGCGUGCUUAACACAUGCAAGUCGAACGUAAAUGCCCUGCUUUUGUGGGGUGCUCGAGUGGCGAACGGGUGAGUAACACGUGAGUAACCUUCCCUUGACUUUGGGAUAACGUCAGGAAACUGGGGCUAAUACCGGAUAUGAGCUCCUGCUGCAUGGUGGGGGGUGGAAAUUUUCGGCGGUUGGGGCUGGACUCGCGGCUUAUCAGCUUGUUGGUGGGGUAGUGGCUUACCAAGGCUUUGACGGGUAGCCGGCCUGAGAGGGUGACCGGCCACAUUGGGACUGAGAUACGGCACAGACUCCUACGGGAGGCAGAAGUGGGGAAUAUUGCACAAUGGGCGGAAGCAUGACGCAGCAACGCCGCGUGCGCGAUGAAGGCCUUCGGGUUGUAACCCGCUUUCGCCUGUGACGAAGCGUGAGUGACGGUAAUGGGUAAAGAAGCACCGGCUAACUACGUG
RNAcentral lists this ribosomal RNA (468 nucleotides) under uncultured bacterium. Its description in RNAcentral is "partial 16S ribosomal RNA". It matches the Rfam family "Bacterial small subunit ribosomal RNA", at positions 28 to 507 of the family's 1533-position model. The record is from RNAcentral.